UUCUUCUCUUCUUGUCACAUCAUUCAGCACUCGAGAGUCGAGACAGACACUCUUUCUUUCUUAGGUACUUCUUCUUCUUCUUCUCUUCAUUUACAGUAUAUGUUGAUUGUUGGCUAGAUGAAUGAGUUUAAUUUCUCUUAAAACAUUUGACACAUUUCUGCAUAUUAGAAACCCUAGAUUUUGUAUUGGGGAAAAAUUGGAUGUUUUUGUAUGUGUAAACAAUUCUCCAUAAAAAUCCAAAAUUUUAUAUGAUCUCUGGACUUUGUACCUGCAAUUUGACACUCACUCACUAUCUGUAUUAAGCUCUUGACUUUGUACCUGCAAUUUGACAUCUUUGGCCAUUUUUAGUUGUGGCUAACAGAGUCCUAACUCUUUGUUUUACUCUGCUUUGUCAACCAAAUGUAUGUCUUUGAUUUAUGUUGCUGUUGGAGAUCAGAUGAUCAAUCAAAUUUUACUAGAGCAGUUGUUAUUUAAGUAAGCUUAUACAAAAAUUCGAAGAAUACAUGAUGUAAAUUUUAAAUUAAACUCUGUUACAUACAUAUCAAAAGAAAAUAAAUUGCUUGGAAUUUAACUUAUACAUUAUAUUGGACCAACAAAAACUACCAAUCUAUCGCAUUAACUUGACAGUGGGUAUUCAUCCCAUUAGUUUUUUUUUUUUUUUUUCAUGCUAAUUUCCAGGCUUUCUUUAAAAUGAAAAUAUAUAUGCUCAGAAUCAGAAUAUAUGGUGAUCAGCUUUGGUUUUGGGCAGGUAAGCCACCUUAUGAUACACUGUGCUGUUGGUGGGCAGGAAAUCUGGAAUCUGUCACAAUGACAUUACCUGGGGUUCUAAGACCUGUGCUGUUGGUGGGCAGGAAAUCUGGAAAUCUGGAAUCUGUCACAAUUUUGUCGACAUUUACAGUUGAUCAUCACUGCUUGUGACUUGUGAGGUUCUAAGACCUGUGUUACUGCUGCAGAUCUGUUGCAGAAUCUGCUUGGUGGCCUAAUGGCUUUGAUCUCUACUUCUCUUGUGAUUUUGUAAACUUAAUGUGAUGCUGUCAUUUGUAGAAACUGAAUUGUGUUAUUCUGAAUUUCUGAUAGAUGUAAUAUGACUGAAUGGGCAAUUUCAGAUUUUC
RNAcentral lists this long non-coding RNA (1112 nucleotides) under Aquilegia coerulea. Its description in RNAcentral is "long non-coding RNA (ACOE_LNC001652)". Lineage: Eukaryota; Viridiplantae; Streptophyta; Magnoliopsida; Ranunculales; Ranunculaceae. The record is from RNAcentral.